RNAcentral lists this ribosomal RNA (253 nucleotides) under uncultured bacterium. Its description in RNAcentral is "partial 16S ribosomal RNA". It matches the Rfam family "Bacterial small subunit ribosomal RNA", at positions 524 to 776 of the family's 1533-position model. The record is from RNAcentral.
UACAGAGGGUGCAAGCGUUAAUCGGAAUUACUGGGCGUAAAGCGUGCGUAGACGGUUAUUUAAGUCAGGUGUGAAAGCCCCGGGCUUAACCUGGGAACUGCAUUUGUGACUGCAUAGCUGGAGUACGGCAGAGGGGGAUGGAAUUCCGCGUGUAGCAGUGAAAUGCGUAGAUAUGCGGAGGAACACCGAUGGCGAAGGCAGUCCCCUGGGCCUGUACUGACGCUCAUGCACGAAAGCGUGGGGAGCAAACAGG